Molecule: ribosomal RNA, 710 nt
Filed under: uncultured bacterium
Lineage: Bacteria
Description: bacterial SSU rRNA
Rfam family: Bacterial small subunit ribosomal RNA
Source: RNAcentral
AACACGUGGGUAACCUGCCCAAGAGACUGGGAUAACACCUGGAAACAGAUGCUAAUACCGGAUAACAACACUAGACGCAUGUCUAGAGUUUGAAAGAUGGUUCUGCUAUCACUCUUGGAUGGACCUGCGGUGCAUUAGCUAGUUGGUAAGGUAACGGCUUACCAAGGCAAUGAUGCAUAGCCGAGUUGAGAGACUGAUCGGCCACAUUGGGACUGAGACACGGCCCAAACUCCUACGGGAGGCAGCAGUAGGGAAUCUUCCACAAUGGACGAAAGUCUGAUGGAGCAACGCCGCGUGAGUGAAGAAGGGUUUCGGCUCGUAAAGCUCUGUUGGUAGUGAAGAAAGAUAGAGGUAGUAACUGGCCUUUAUUUGACGGUAAUUACUUAGAAAGUCACGGCUAACUACGUGCCAGCAGCCGCGGUGAUACGUAGGUGGCAAGCGUUGUCCGGAUUUAUUGGGCGUAAAGCGAGUGCAGGCGGUUCAAUAAGUCUGAUGUGAAAGCCUUCGGCUCAACCGGAGAAUUGCAUCAGAAACUGUUGAACUUGAGUGCAGAAGAGGAGAGUGGAACUCCAUGUGUAGCGGUGGAAUGCGUAGAUAUAUGGAAGAACACCAGUGGCGAAGGCGGCUCUCUGGUCUGCAACUGACGCUGAGGCUCGGAAGCAUGGGUAGCGAACAGGGAUUAGAUACCCUGGUAGUUCCAUGCCGUAAAC